UCCUCGUUAGUAUAGUGGUCAGUAUCCCCGCCUGUCACGCAGGAGACUGGGGUUCAAUUCCCCGACGGGGAG
This 72-nucleotide transfer RNA is filed under the name Callorhinchus milii (elephant shark). RNAcentral's name for it is "tRNA-Asp (GTC) (tRNA-Asp-GTC-14-1)". It matches the Rfam family "tRNA". Rfam says of the family: Transfer RNA (tRNA) molecules are approximately 80 nucleotides in length. Lineage: Eukaryota; Metazoa; Chordata; Chondrichthyes; Chimaeriformes; Callorhinchidae. The record is from Rfam by way of RNAcentral.